This 73-nucleotide transfer RNA is filed under the name Phrynosoma platyrhinos (Desert horned lizard). RNAcentral describes it as "tRNA-OTHER". The record is from RNAcentral. Lineage: Eukaryota; Metazoa; Chordata; Lepidosauria; Squamata; Phrynosomatidae.
AGCUAGUGUGGCAUAGUGGUUUGAGUGUUGGACUAGGACUCUAGAGAUCAAGGUUCAAUUCCCAGCUUGGCCA